UCCAAGAAGGAAUUGUGUUAGGACAUUUGGUGUUUGACAAAACCAAAAUUGAAGUAAUUGAAAAGAUGUCUCUACCCACUAAUGCCAAAGGAGUUAGAAGUUUUCUGGGACACACCAGAUUUUACAGGCGUUUCAUUAAAAAUUUUUCAAAGAUAGCAAAUCUUUUAUCAAAUUUGUUAAGUCAUGAUGUAUCAUUUCUAUUUGACCAAGAAUGUCUUGAUGUUUUUUGUAG
This 232-nucleotide unclassified non-coding RNA is filed under the name Hevea brasiliensis (rubber tree). The record is from RNAcentral. Lineage: Eukaryota; Viridiplantae; Streptophyta; Magnoliopsida; Malpighiales; Euphorbiaceae.